RNAcentral lists this ribosomal RNA (497 nucleotides) under uncultured bacterium. Its description in RNAcentral is "partial 16S ribosomal RNA". It matches the Rfam family "Bacterial small subunit ribosomal RNA", at positions 28 to 507 of the family's 1533-position model. The record is from RNAcentral.
GAUGAACGCUGGCGGCGUGCCUAAUACAUGCAAGUCGAGCGAACAGACGAGGAGCUUGCUCCUCUGACGUUAGCGGCGGACGGGUGAGUAACACGUGGAUAACCUACCUAUAAGACUGGGAUAACUUCGGGAAACCGGAGCUAAUACCGGAUAAUAUAUUGAACCGCAUGGUUCAAUAGUGAAAGACGGUUUUGCUGUCACUUAUAGAUGGAUCCGCGCCGCAUUAGCUAGUUGGUAAGGUAACGGCUUACCAAGGCAACGAUGCGUAGCCGACCUGAGAGGGUGAUCGGUCACACUGGAACUGAGACACGGUCCAGACUCCUACGGAAGGCAGCAGUAGGGAAACUUCCGCAAUGGGCGAAAGCCUGACGAAGCAACGCCGCGUAAGUGAUGAAGGUCUUCGGAUCGUAAAACUCUGUUAUUAGGGAAGAACAAAUGUGUAAGUAACUAUGCACGUAUUGACGGUACCUAAUCAGAAAGCCACGGCUAACUACGGG